This 562-nucleotide ribosomal RNA is filed under the name uncultured bacterium. Its description in RNAcentral is "partial 16S ribosomal RNA". It matches the Rfam family "Bacterial small subunit ribosomal RNA", at positions 355 to 912 of the family's 1533-position model. The record is from RNAcentral.
UGGGGAAUUUUGGACAAUGGGCGAAAGCCUGAUCCAGCAAUGCCGCGUGUGUGAAGAAGGCCUUCGGGUUGUAAAGCACUUUUGUCCGGAAAGAAAUCCUUGGCUCUAAUACAGUCGGGGGAUGACGGUACCGGAAGAAUAAGCACCGGCUAACUACGUGCCAGCAGCCGCGGUAAUACGUAGGGUGCAAGCGUUAAUCGGAAUUACUGGGCGUAAAGCGUGCGCAGGCGGUUUGCUAAGACCGAUGUGAAAUCCCCGGGCUCAACCUGGGAACUGCAUUGGUGACUGGCAGGCUAGAGUAUGGCAGAGGGGGGUAGAAUUCCACGUGUAGCAGUGAAAUGCGUAGAGAUGUGGAGGAAUACCGAUGGCGAAGGCAGCCCCCUGGGCCAAUACUGACGCUCAUGCACGAAAGCGUGGGGAGCAAAACAGGAUUAGAUACCCUGGUAGUCCACGCCCUAAACGAUGUCAACUAGUUGUUGGGAUCAUUCCUUAGUAACGUAGCUAACGCGUGAAGUUGACCGCCUGGGGAGUACGGUCGCAAGAUUAAAACUCAAAUGAAUUG